This 399-nucleotide long non-coding RNA is filed under the name Cercocebus atys (sooty mangabey). RNAcentral describes it as "lncRNA (ENSCATG00000045390.1)". Lineage: Eukaryota; Metazoa; Chordata; Mammalia; Primates; Cercopithecidae. The record is from RNAcentral.
AUCCUGCUCUGGCAGUUAUUUAAACAGAAGCCUCCAGGAGACAUACAAUCAACACUCCACUCAGACAAUGCCCAGACCUCCAGAAAUCAUGUGUCAAGCUUGGAUUGCCUUAGACAGGUGCUGUUGAUGAAACUGCCAAAGGAGCUGAAUAUGACUGACAUCUUUGGAAGGAUGAGACUUAGCGUGCCCGUACAGUUGUGUCCAAAUGCUGUCCUUAUCUCCCAAUGGAAAGGUCCCCAGGUUCUGCCUCCAUCCUGACGUCCAGUGUUGGAUUCCUCUUCACAUCAACUCCUCUCUGCAGGUUGAGCCAUCAGACCUUACCUCCUUAUUUAUGUUGAGCAAAGGAGAGAGAAUGCCUCUACAGACAACGAAAAAAGUGAAAAAAAAAAAUCCUUCUCC